RNAcentral lists this long non-coding RNA (2245 nucleotides) under Salvia miltiorrhiza (redroot sage). Its description in RNAcentral is "long non-coding RNA (SMIL_LNC002838)". The stretch from base 1 to 304 matches the Rfam family "Plant signal recognition particle RNA". Lineage: Eukaryota; Viridiplantae; Streptophyta; Magnoliopsida; Lamiales; Lamiaceae. The record is from RNAcentral.
GCCGAGCUCUGUAACGAGAGCUUGUGACCCAAGUGGGGGCAUUAAUGUGAUUGAACGUUGGGCCAAAUCACUCAGCUGGGCUUCGAGCUGCUUUUCUGGCCCGCCCGUUCCAAGCGGUGGAGUUGGGCCAUGCGGUCCAUUCGAAGGAAUGGGUCACGUGGUUCCUAGAGUGGAGGGCAUCGCGUCAGGCUGGUUUCACAGAGCAGCGUUAAACUUCCCGCUCUCUGCAGUGGAAGGAUAACGGGCCUGUGCUGUUCGGGUCCAUUCAAGUUGAUUUGGUUGGCCCAAUUGAACAAUCACUUUUUUGCCAAAUAUUUGAUUCAUUAUAAUCGAUUUUUUUUGGGGCUCGUUUAAUAAGCCAUUUUUUGUGAUUUUUGCUACAACUCAGUUUGUGUAUACAAUAGCUGUUGCAACAUAAUAUCAAUUUUCUUGCCGAGCUCCAUGAUAUCAUAAUUGUUAUUAAACAAAUAACAUAAUUAAAUUUGAAAGAGACUAUAAUUUGAAAUAAUCCUUAGGUUAACGUAAAAGCAAGUUUUUUAUGUUUCCAUAGUUAUUGUAACUAUAAUUUGAAAUAAUCAUUAGAUUUUUUCUAUUCUAUUUCUACGAAUAAUAAGCAAGCUCUCAAAAUUUUGUGGUUGAAACUGUUUAUAUUAUAUUCUCGAACUUAAAAAAAUCAUAAGUUUCUUGAAUUUUUGAGAGAAAAGAAAUUAUAAAUAAUAGAGUAGUAUAUAAUUUGUAAGCUUUUAGUUAAUUCUUUACAUAAGAAGGAAUUAAUCCUAAUUUAGUUUCGUAUACUGUUGGUGUGUAUAAGGGUGAAUUUGUGAAGAAGGGUUCGCGAAGGAACAUAUUUGGUAAUAGAGAUGAUCGCAUAUCAUGUUGCUUGACACUACAUGAUUUAUUGGUUGCUUCUUUUUCUGUUAAUUCAUGAUUGAAAAGUCUUCAACUCAUGACAACCUAUUUAUUUCUGGGUUGAACUUAAAAACAAUUAAAAUAACUCUUACUGCUCACAAAUUUUCCAUUGGAUUUUCUAUGAAAGAUUUUAACAUGGUUCGUUCCUUGAAUUUUUGGUUUAUUAGAUCAAAACUUAAAUGGAUAUUUCAUUUACAUAAGAAUUAAUAGUUGGUCUCUUAGAUGGGUUUUAUAAAUUAAUCUUGGGUCAUCUUUUAUAGUUUGCUUAGAUCGUAAGAAAAUUUAUAUUUAAAAUUAGUUAAAUAUAUAUAAUGGUUGGCGUAGGGAUUUAUUUUUACUUCAUUGCUCUCUAUCCCCAAAAUAGGUAAAAUGUUCUUUUUUUUAAUUACAAUUCACACACACUCAUACUAAUCACGCAUACCGAGCGUGUUACCAUGUAUUAAUAAACUUGAAAAUGAAGAAAUUGACACAUCACGAAAUUAUUAAAUCCUUAUAACCUUUUUUUUUUUUUCUUUNUUAUAGAAAUGGGGUUAGCCCCUUAUAAUUUUAUCUUUAAUGGAAGACCAGUAUUUUCAGGAUUACCUAAGAAAAAAUGUAAAUGGACGGAUGAAAACGAACUUGUUACGUAAUUUUGGGAUAAAAAUAGUGUUGUAUUUUCCAAGUAUUUUGAAAGUUCAUAACAGAUUCUAAUGACCAGUUACUAGACAAAGAUGUCCGGAAGAAAUCUUUGUUUUAUCGUCAUCCCACAUCGGUCUCAAUACUAUAGGAUUACUACUUGAUAUACGGAAAGUCGAUGGAAUAUGACGCCGAGCUCUGCAACGGGAGCUUGUGACCCAAGUGGGGGCGUUAAUGUGAUUGAACUGUUGGGCCAAAUCACUCAGUUGGGUCUCGGGUAGCUUUUCUGGCCUGCCCGUUCCAAGCGGUGGAGUUGGGCCAUGCGGCCCGUGCGAAGGUAUGGGCCGCGUGUCUCCUAAAGUGGGUGGCACCGCGUCAGGCUGGUUUCACAGAGCAGCGUUAAACUUCCCGCUCUUCGCAGUGGAAGGAUUACGGGCCGGUGCUGUUUGGGCCCCGUUCAAACUGAUUUGGUUGGCCCAAUUGAACAAUCAUUUUUUUAAAAAAAUUUGGAUCCUUUUAUUAUAAGCGAAUUUUGAUAAUUUUUCCAUCCAACACGUGUUUCCUUAACCACACGAUUUGUUUUUUGAUAUUGUGACAUACCGUAUAAUUAUAUUUAUGAUUAGUGCCCGUAAUUUGAUUUUUUCAUACAUAUUAAAAAAUAUAAUUAUUCCAUUUUGCACAUCUUUAUUGUUCCACAUUAUUUUCACAGAUAUUAUUAAAU